GACGGUGCCGAGAUUGUGGCCGGACGCAUUCCAUCCGAUCUCGCGGCCUUCAAGAACCGCGACGCUUGCGCCCAUCCGCGCCGCUUCCCGCGCCAUGGUCAGACCGGCGAGCCCUCCCCCGAUCACACAGAUGUCGACAUCCAGGUCGAACGUCAGCCGCGGGUGGGCCGGCUGGUCCGCCGACGAAUUCANGCUGUUCCAAGAUCGCCUGUCGCAAGCGGUAUUUUCUGGGUGUAACGGUGUCCCCGUCCGUCACAAUAUCGGACGUAAGCUUGUACACUAUUCCGCGCCGUGCCCUAGUGUUUGCCGCACCACGUCCACCGAAACGAGAUCGCGAUAAUGCGCCGUCUGAUCCUGCUCCGCCACGCCAAGACCGAGCGGGAUGCCCCUUCCGGCAAGGAU
RNAcentral lists this unclassified non-coding RNA (402 nucleotides) under Hevea brasiliensis (rubber tree). The record is from RNAcentral. Lineage: Eukaryota; Viridiplantae; Streptophyta; Magnoliopsida; Malpighiales; Euphorbiaceae.